Molecule: non-coding RNA, 705 nt
Organism: Arvicanthis niloticus (Nile rat)
Lineage: Eukaryota; Metazoa; Chordata; Mammalia; Rodentia; Muridae
Source: RefSeq, a predicted model, not a curated record
ACAGUGGAAUCUGGAGCUCACUCAGUUGUUAGCAGCUGUAACAGUCCUGUAGCACUAUCACGGGAAUACAAACUAGUGGUGCUGGGUGGAGUUGGGAAGAGUGCCAUGACAAUACAGUUUAUCAGACAACAAUUCCCAGAAUAUCAUGACCCCAACAUUGAAAUUGCUUAUAAGAUUCAGAUCUACAUUGAUGAUGGAUGAGCCUGCCAAUCUGGACAUAGUGGACACAGCGGGGCAGAGUUUACAGCUAUGUGGGAUCAGUAUAAGAGGGAAGGAGAAUGACUUAUCAUCUGUUACUCCAUCACUAGUCAUUGAAGUUUCCAUGAAGUUUGGGAGUUUAAACAACUGAUUCACUGAGUCUGACGCACUGAUGAUAUACUGGUGGUUGUUGUGGGAAACAAGUCCGACCUGAAACAGCUGGGAAAGGUCUCCAAGGAAGAGGGAUUGUCUUGAGAAUUCAGUUGUGCUUUUUUUGAGACCUCUGCUGCAUAUUGCUGUUACAUUGAUGACAUUUUCCAUGUUCCUGUAUGAAAGAUAUGUAAGAAAGGAAAGGAGUUAAUACUAGCCAUGAGGAAAAAGUCUAAACCAAAACGCAGUGUAUGGAAGAGGCUGACAUCACCGUUCAGGAGGAAGAAAGACUCAGUAACCCGAGGGAAGAGUGAGGUGUCUGCUGUGAACUGCAGUGCUCCUCCAAGCAGUCAGUAA